GAGGGUAUAGCUCAGUAGGUUAGAGCGACAGAUUGUGGUUCUGUAGGUCGUGGGUUCGAGACCCAUUACUCUCC
This 74-nucleotide transfer RNA is filed under the name Chitinophagaceae bacterium. RNAcentral's name for it is "tRNA-His". It matches the Rfam family "tRNA". Rfam says of the family: Transfer RNA (tRNA) molecules are approximately 80 nucleotides in length. Their secondary structure includes four short double-helical elements and three loops (D, anti-codon, and T loops). Further hydrogen bonds mediate the characteristic L-shaped molecular structure. tRNAs have two regions of fundamental functional importance: the anti-codon, which is responsible for specific mRNA codon recognition, and the 3' end, to which the tRNAs corresponding amino acid is attached (by aminoacyl-tRNA synthetases). tRNAs cope with the degeneracy of the genetic code in two manners: having more than one tRNA (with a specific anti-codon) for a particular amino acid; and 'wobble' base-pairing, i.e. permitting non-standard base-pairing at the 3rd anti-codon position. Lineage: Bacteria; Pseudomonadati; Bacteroidota; Chitinophagia; Chitinophagales; Chitinophagaceae. The record is from RNAcentral.